Molecule: ribosomal RNA, 253 nt
Filed under: uncultured bacterium
Lineage: Bacteria
Description: partial 16S ribosomal RNA
Rfam family: Bacterial small subunit ribosomal RNA
Source: RNAcentral
UACGAGGGGUGCAAGCGUUGCUCGGAAUUAUUGGGCGUAAAGGGUAGGUAGGUGGUCUCAUUUGUCCGGGGUGAAAGCCUUGAGCUUAACUCAAGAAGUGCCCCGGAAACGGUGAGACUCGAGUACUGGAGAGGGUCGUGGAAUUCCACGUGUAGCAGUGAAAUGCGUAGAGAUGUGGAGGAACACCGAUGGCGAAGGCAGCCCCCUGGGUCGACACUGACGCUCAUGCACGAAAGCGUGGGGAGCAAACAGG